CAUGAAGCUGGAAUCGCUAGUAAUCGCGGAUCAGAAUGCCGCGGUGAAUACGUUCCCGGGUCUUGUACACACCGCCCGUCACACCAUGGGAGUCGGAAAUGCCCGAAGUCCGUAGCCUAACCGCAAGGGGGGCGCGGCCGAAGGUGGGUUCGAUAAGUUGGGGUGAAGUCGUAACAAGGUACC
This 183-nucleotide ribosomal RNA is filed under the name uncultured bacterium. Its description in RNAcentral is "partial 16S ribosomal RNA". It matches the Rfam family "Bacterial small subunit ribosomal RNA", at positions 1319 to 1500 of the family's 1533-position model. The record is from RNAcentral.